RNAcentral lists this ribosomal RNA (340 nucleotides) under uncultured bacterium. RNAcentral describes it as "partial 16S ribosomal RNA". The record is from RNAcentral.
AGAUUUGAUCCUGGCUCAGUGACUGGGGUGAAGUCGUAACAAGGUAACCGUAAGUCGUAACAUGGUUACCGUAGAGUUUGAUCAUGGCUCAGCCUUUGACUUAAAAAAUGGAGAAGUCGUAACAAGGUAACCGUAAGUCGUAACAAGGUAACCAUAGAGUUUGAUCCUGGCUCAGUAACUGGGGUGAAGUCGUAACAAGGUAACCGUAGAGUUUGAUCAUGGCUCAGGAAAGUCGUAACAAGGUAACCGUAAGUCGUAACAAGGUAACCGUAGAGUUUGAUCCUGGCUCAGCCUUGACUUAAAAAAAUGGAGAAGUCGACAAGGUAACGUAAGUCGUAAA